RNAcentral lists this ribosomal RNA (497 nucleotides) under uncultured bacterium. Its description in RNAcentral is "partial 16S ribosomal RNA". It matches the Rfam family "Bacterial small subunit ribosomal RNA", at positions 28 to 507 of the family's 1533-position model. The record is from RNAcentral.
GAUGAACGCUGGCGGCGUGCCUAAUACAUGCCAGUCGAGCGAACAGACGAGGAGCUUGCUCCUCUGACGUUAGCGGCGGACGGGUGAGUAACACGUGGAUAACCUACCUAUAAGACUGGGAUAACUUCGGGAAACCGGAGCUAAUACCGGAUAAUAUAUUGAACCGCAUGGUUCAAUAGUGAAAGACGGUUUUGCUGUCACUUAUAGAUGGAUCCGCGCCGCAUUAGCUAGUUGGUAAGGUAACGGCUUACCAAGGCGACGAUGCGUAGCCGACCUGAGAGGGUGAUCGGCCACACUGGAACUGAGACACGGUCCAGACUCCUACGGGAGGCAGCAGUAGGGAAUCUUCCGCAAUGGGCGAAAGCCUGACGGAGCAACGCCGCGUGAGUGAUGAAGGUCUUCGGAUCGUAAAACUUUGUUAUUAGGGAAGAACAAAUGUGUAAGUAACUAUGCACGUCUUGACGGUACCUAAUCAGAAAGCCACGGCUAACUACGUG